Molecule: ribosomal RNA, 253 nt
Filed under: uncultured bacterium
Lineage: Bacteria
Description: partial 16S ribosomal RNA
Rfam family: Bacterial small subunit ribosomal RNA
Source: RNAcentral
UACGAAGGGGGCUAGCGUUGCUCGGAAUGACUGGGCGUAAAGGGCGCGUAGGCGGAUUGUUUAGUUAGGUGUGAAAUUCCUGGGCUUAACCUGGGGACUGCACUUAAUACAGGCAGUCUAGAGUGGGAUAGAGGGUUGUGGAAUUCCCAGUGUAGAGGUGAAAUUCGUAGAUAUUGGGAAGAACACCGGUGGCGAAGGCGGCAACCUGGAUCUUUACUGACGCUGAGGCGCGAAAGCGUGGGGAGCAAACAGG